Molecule: ribosomal RNA, 409 nt
Filed under: Winogradskyella sp.
Lineage: Bacteria; Pseudomonadati; Bacteroidota; Flavobacteriia; Flavobacteriales; Flavobacteriaceae
Description: bacterial SSU rRNA
Rfam family: Bacterial small subunit ribosomal RNA
Source: RNAcentral
GUGCCAGCAGCCGCGGUAAUACGGAGGAUCCAAGCGUUAUCCGGAAUCAUUGGGUUUAAAGGGUCCGUAGGUGGAUAAUUAAGUUAGGGGUGAAAGUCUGCAGCUCAACUGUAGAAUUGCCCUUAAUACUGGUUAUCUUGAAUUAUUGUGAAGUGGUUAGAAUAUGUAGUGUAGCGGUGAAAUGCAUAGAUAUUACAUAGAAUACCAAUUGCGAAGGCAGAUCACUAACAAUAUAUUGACACUGAUGGACGAAAGCGUGGGGAGCGAACAGGAUUAGAUACCCUGGUAGUCCACGCCGUAAACGAUGGUCACUAGCUGUUCGGACUUCGGUCUGAGUGGCUAAGCGAAAGUGAUAAGUGACCCACCUGGGGAGUACGUUCGCAAGAAUGAAACUCAAAGGAAUUGACGG